Molecule: small nucleolar RNA, 88 nt
Filed under: Salmo salar (Atlantic salmon)
Lineage: Eukaryota; Metazoa; Chordata; Actinopteri; Salmoniformes; Salmonidae
Description: Small nucleolar RNA SNORD72 (ENSSSAG00000098264.1)
Rfam family: Small nucleolar RNA SNORD72
About the family: snoRNA HBII-240 belongs to the CD family of snoRNAs.
Source: RNAcentral
CUCUUUGUCAAUGAUGUUUUAAGUCAAAUGUCUGAACAUAUGAAUUUCAGUGAUUCUUAUUUUUUUAAUUUUUUUACUGAGACAAGAG